This 253-nucleotide ribosomal RNA is filed under the name uncultured bacterium. Its description in RNAcentral is "partial 16S ribosomal RNA". It matches the Rfam family "Bacterial small subunit ribosomal RNA", at positions 524 to 776 of the family's 1533-position model. The record is from RNAcentral.
UACGAAGGGGGCUAGCGUUGCUCGGAAUCACUGGGCGUAAAGCGCACGUAGGCGGCUUUUUAAGUCAGGGGUGAAAUCCUGGAGCUCAACUCCAGAACUGCCUUUGAUACUGAGAAGCUUGAGUCCGGGAGAGGUGAGUGGAACUGCGAGUGUAGAGGUGAAAUUCGUAGAUAUUCGCAAGAACACCAGUGGCGAAGGCGGCUCACUGGCACGGUACUGACGCUGAGGUGCGAAAGCGUGGGGAGCAAACAGG